RNAcentral lists this transfer RNA (72 nucleotides) under Bos taurus (domestic cattle). It matches the Rfam family "tRNA". Rfam says of the family: Transfer RNA (tRNA) molecules are approximately 80 nucleotides in length. Their secondary structure includes four short double-helical elements and three loops (D, anti-codon, and T loops). Further hydrogen bonds mediate the characteristic L-shaped molecular structure. tRNAs have two regions of fundamental functional importance: the anti-codon, which is responsible for specific mRNA codon recognition, and the 3' end, to which the tRNAs corresponding amino acid is attached (by aminoacyl-tRNA synthetases). tRNAs cope with the degeneracy of the genetic code in two manners: having more than one tRNA (with a specific anti-codon) for a particular amino acid; and 'wobble' base-pairing, i.e. permitting non-standard base-pairing at the 3rd anti-codon position. Lineage: Eukaryota; Metazoa; Chordata; Mammalia; Artiodactyla; Bovidae. RNAcentral also lists the same sequence under 4 other names. The record is from Rfam by way of RNAcentral.
UUCCUGGCGGUCAGUGGUUAUGACUCUGCACUUCCAGUGCAGAGGGCACAGGUUCAAUCCCUGGUCAGGUAA